GUGUAAUAAAAUAUUGUAAAUAAUCAUAUUUUGUAGUAAACAACACAUAGCAUGUUAAGAUAGACUACUAUUGUAGAUGAGAAGUUGGGAAGGUAGGAUAUAUAGAGGACUUUAAUGUAUAUCUUUAAGCAAAGUUAAAUCAUUGCUAAUGAAAACUGAUUCUGAGGGGAGCUGGGUAAGAUACUGUUAUACCUGCAUCUACUGUUUCAGUCCAACUACC
Cinara cedri is the source of this 220-nucleotide non-coding RNA. The record is from the annotation of a GenBank genome assembly. Lineage: Eukaryota; Metazoa; Arthropoda; Insecta; Hemiptera; Aphididae.